RNAcentral lists this ribosomal RNA (515 nucleotides) under uncultured bacterium. RNAcentral's name for it is "partial 16S ribosomal RNA". It matches the Rfam family "Bacterial small subunit ribosomal RNA", at positions 28 to 523 of the family's 1533-position model. The record is from RNAcentral.
GAUGAACGCUGGCGGCGUGCCUAAUACAUGCAAGUCGAGCGAAUGGAUUAAGAGCUUGCUCUUAUGAAGUUAGCGGCGGACGGGUGAGUGACACGUGGGUAACCUGCCCAUAAGACUGGGAUAACUCCGGGAAACCGGGGCUAAUACCGGAUAACAUUUUGAACCGCAUGGUUCGAAAUUGAAAGGCGGCUUCGGCUGUCACUUAUGGAUGGACCCGCGUCGCAUUAGCUAGUUGGUGAGGUAACGGCUCACCAAGGCAACGAUGCGUAGCCGGCCUGAGAGGGGGAUCGGCCACAAUGGGACUGAGACACGGCCCAGACUCCUACGGGAGGCAGCAGUAGGGAAUCUUCCGCAAUGGACGAAAGUCUGACGGAGCAACGCCGCGUGAGUGAUGAAGGCUUUCGGGUCGUAAAACUCUGUUGUUAGGGAAGAACAAGUGCUAGUUGAAUAAGCUGGCACCUUGACGGUACCUAACCAGAAAGCCACGGCUAACUACGUGCCAGCCGCCGCAGUAA